AGUGAACGCUGGCGGUAGGCCUAACACAUGCAAGUCGAACGGCAGCACAGUAAGAGCUUGCUCUUACGGGUGGCGAGUGGCGGACGGGUGAGGAAUACAUCGAAAUCUACUUUUUCGUGGGGGAUAACGUAGGGAAACUUACGCUAAUACCGCAUACGACCUACGGGUGAAAGCAGGGGAUCUUCGGACCUUGCGCGAUUGAAUGAGCCGAUGUCGGAUUAGCUAGUUGGCGGGGUAAAGGCCCACCAAGGCGACGAUCCGUAGCUGGUCUGAGAGGAUGAUCAGCCACACUGGAACUGAGACACGGUCCAGACUCCUACGGGAGGCAGCAGUGGGGAAUAUUGGACAAUGGGCGCAAGCCUGAUCCAGCCAUACCGCGUGGGUGAAGAAGGCCUUCGGGUUGUAAAGCCCUUUUGUUGGGAAAGAAAGGCAGCAGGUUAAUACCCCGCUGCUCUGACGGUACCCAAAGAAUAAGCACCGGCUAACUUCGUG
Molecule: ribosomal RNA, 492 nt
Filed under: uncultured bacterium
Lineage: Bacteria
Description: partial 16S ribosomal RNA
Rfam family: Bacterial small subunit ribosomal RNA
Source: RNAcentral